UGGGGAAUAUUGCACAAUGGGCGCAAGCCUGAUGCAGCCAUGCCGCGUGUGUGAAGAAGGCCUUCGGGUUGUAAAGCACUUUCAGCGAGGAGGAAGGUGGUGAGCUUAAUACGCUCAUCAAUUGACGUUACUCGCAGGAGAAGCACCGGCUAACUCCGUGCCAGCAGCCGCGGUAAUACGGAGGGUGCAAGCGUUAAUCGGAAUUACUGGGCGUAAAGCGCACGCAGGCGGUUUGUUAAGUCAGAUGUGAAAUCCCCGGGCUCAACCUGGGAACUGCAUUUGAAACUGGCAAGCUAGAGUCUCGUAGAGGGGGGUAGAAUUCCAGGUGUAGCGGUGAAAUGCGUAGAGAUCUGGAGGAAUACCGGUGGCGAAGGCGGCCCCCCUGGACGAAGACUGACGCUCAGGUGCGAAAGCGUGGGGCAGCAAACAGGAUUAGAUA
This 439-nucleotide ribosomal RNA is filed under the name uncultured bacterium. Its description in RNAcentral is "partial 16S ribosomal RNA". It matches the Rfam family "Bacterial small subunit ribosomal RNA", at positions 355 to 784 of the family's 1533-position model. The record is from RNAcentral.